Molecule: ribosomal RNA, 1551 nt
Filed under: Salmonella enterica subsp. enterica serovar Dublin
Lineage: Bacteria; Pseudomonadati; Pseudomonadota; Gammaproteobacteria; Enterobacterales; Enterobacteriaceae
Description: bacterial LSU rRNA
Rfam family: Bacterial large subunit ribosomal RNA
Source: RNAcentral
GGUAUCAGAAGUGCGAAUGCUGACAUAAGUAACGAUAAAGCGGGUGAAAAGCCCGCUCGCCGGAAGACCAAGGGUUCCUGUCCAACGUUAAUCGGGGCAGGGUGAGUCGACCCCUAAGGCGAGGCCGAAAGGCGUAGUCGAUGGGAAACGGGUUAAUAUUCCCGUACUUGGUGUUACUGCGAAGGGGGGACGGAGAAGGCUAUGUUGGCCGGGCGACGGUUGUCCCGGUUUAAGCGUGUAGGUGUGUGUUCCAGGUAAAUCCGGUUCACUUUAACACUGAGGCGUGAUGACGAGGCACUACGGUGCUGAAGUAACAAAUGCCCUGCUUCCAGGAAAAGCCUCUAAGCAUCAGGUAACAUCAAAUCGUACCCCAAACCGACACAGGUGGUCAGGUAGAGAAUACCAAGGCGCUUGAGAGAACUCGGGUGAAGGAACUAGGCAAAAUGGUGCCGUAACUUCGGGAGAAGGCACGCUGACACGUAGGUGAAGUGAUUUACUCAUGGAGCUGAAGUCAGUCGAAGAUACCAGCUGGCUGCAACUGUUUAUUAAAAACACAGCACUGUGCAAACACGAAAGUGGACGUAUACGGUGUGACGCCUGCCCGGUGCCGGAAGGUUAAUUGAUGGGGUCAGCGCAAGCGAAGCUCCUGAUCGAAGCCCCGGUAAACGGCGGCCGUAACUAUAACGGUCCUAAGGUAGCGAAAUUCCUUGUCGGGUAAGUUCCGACCUGCACGAAUGGCGUAAUGAUGGCCAGGCUGUCUCCACCCGAGACUCAGUGAAAUUGAACUCGCUGUGAAGAUGCAGUGUACCCGCGGCAAGACGGAAAGACCCCGUGAACCUUUACUAUAGCUUGACACUGAACAUUGAGCCUUGAUGUGUAGGAUAGGUGGGAGGCUUUGAAGCGUGGACGCCAGUCUGCGUGGAGCCGACCUUGAAAUACCACCCUUUAAUGUUUGAUGUUCUAACGUGGACCCGUUACCCGGGUUGCGGACAGUGUCUGGUGGGUAGUUUGACUGGGGCGGUCUCCUCCUAAAGAGUAACGGAGGAGCACGAAGGUUGGCUAAUCCUGGUCGGACAUCAGGAGGUUAGUGCAAUGGCAUAAGCCAGCUUGACUGCGAGCGUGACGGCGCGAGCAGGUGCGAAAGCAGGUCAUAGUGAUCCGGUGGUUCUGAAUGGAAGGGCCAUCGCUCAACGGAUAAAAGGUACUCCGGGGAUAACAGGCUGAUACCGCCCAAGAGUUCAUAUCGACGGCGGUGUUUGGCACCUCGAUGUCGGCUCAUCACAUCCUGGGGCUGAAGUAGGUCCCAAGGGUAUGGCUGUUCGCCAUUUAAAGUGGUACGCGAGCUGGGUUUAGAACGUCGUGAGACAGUUCGGUCCCUAUCUGCCGUGGGCGCUGGAGAACUGAGGGGGGCUGCUCCUAGUACGAGAGGACCGGAGUGGACGCAUCACUGGUGUUCGGGUUGUCAUGCCAAUGGCACUGCCCGGUAGCUAAAUGCGGAAGAGAUAAGUGCUGAAAGCAUCUAAGCACGAAACUUGCCCCGAGAUGAGUUCU